CCUCUGGUUUCUUUUCACGAUUUGAUUCUUUUGUUCCCAAACAAAAGCUACAUAUCGGGAUGGGAUCAGCUCGUGGCUGGUCUUUUUCAUGGGGUAGAAGGCUGACAGGUGGAAGAGAAGCUGGGAAACCACUGGAAUAUUUAGGAGCUCCUUUGCUUUCCAAACCACCAUAAUUCACUCUGUACUGAGGUCCAUCCUUCAGUAAUCUGCCAUUG
RNAcentral lists this long non-coding RNA (215 nucleotides) under Gallus gallus (chicken). The record is from RNAcentral. Lineage: Eukaryota; Metazoa; Chordata; Aves; Galliformes; Phasianidae.